This is a long non-coding RNA of Branchiostoma floridae (Florida lancelet), 1339 nucleotides long. RefSeq lists it as uncharacterized. NCBI's taxonomy places the organism in Eukaryota, Metazoa, Chordata, Leptocardii, Amphioxiformes, Branchiostomatidae. The record is from RefSeq and is a predicted model, not a curated record. The transcript has 2 exons.
AGCAUAAAAUUCACAAAUGUUCUUCUUUUCCUUAUCCAGAAAGUUUAAGAAAGAUAAUUCUUGAUUUUCUUGGUUAUGUUUAAGAAGAUACAAGAAUUCUUUUCUUCACUUACUUGAUCAAAUAUAGGUUUGAAAAAUUAUAAAAUCAAGAAAUCAAAACAAAAAGUUACAACUGAAGCAUAAAAUUCUUUAAUGGUAUGUUUUCCUUAUUCAAAAAGCUUAAGAGAGAUGCUUCUUGUUUUUCAAGUGGUAAUGUUUAAGAUAUACUAGAAUAUAUUUCUUAACUUUCUUGAUUAAGGAAAACAAGAUAUUUUUUUGGGUUCAUGGCACCUAGAGGUAGUUGCAAGAUAUAACAUUUAGUUGAAUAGUAUGGUAACCUUUCUUUUGAAAUUUCUGUUGGUGACCAAGCUAUGUUUAGUUCAAAGUUAUGUUAAACUUUGCUUUCCUCAAAUCAAAACCCAUUUGGUGUCUUUGUUAAGAAUUAGUCUUGGUAACAAGAAAACAUUUCUUGAUUUUCUAGCCUAUCUUGUCAUGUGACUUUUUCUGAACUCCUGAUUGGUUUAUUUGUAUCUCAGAGUACUGUUGGGCUACCCCAGGUGGUCCAUCUCUAUUUUGAACAGUUAUAAGAAAAUAUUUCUUAACAUUUCUUAUUUUUCUAGCCUCUCUGGUCAUGUGACUUUUUCUGAACCCCUGAUUGGUUGAUCUGUAUCCCAGAGUACAGUUGGGCUACCCCAUCUCCAUUUUGAACAGAGUGACAGUUGCAGCAGCUCAGUUCACUACUCUUUGUAUCAGUUGAUGACUCAUGUCAGUUUUACAGUCAAAAGUAAGGUAAAAGGGACCAUGAUCAUGUGAGGCACUGGUGACUGGGUUCAAUUUGCUAAAAAUCUAUGCAGCGGAAACAGCUGGGAACCAGAUAUGAAGGAUAAGGUGUCUGGAGGUUUUGACCACACCAAAUGUCAAGAAUGAAAAGUUCACUGCAAGGGUUUACUCUAUUUUGGAAUGUGAUACUCUGUAACCAUAUGGAAUUAUAGUUAUAUCUAGUAAGUUUAUAAAUUAUGGCCUUAGCAUAUUCCGCUACAAAACAGCUACAUGUACACUGCCAUUUAAGUAAAUGCAGUAAUAUUGCUGUAAAUACUUCUUUGAGAAGGGUAAUGAAUUCGAGACUCUUCUUCUUGUACGUAUAUCAAGAUAAAUAAUUGGCAAUUUGAAUGUAAAGGAAUUAUUGAUGUUUGUCUGGGACUGUCAUCGUAAAAGUAUUUCCAUUCAAAGACUGUUACUAUUGUGAUCAUACUUCAUAAGUCUUAUGUAAGAAUGUGGUAAUAAAUAUUCCUAUACUAUA